This 1797-nucleotide long non-coding RNA is filed under the name Chlamydomonas reinhardtii. RNAcentral describes it as "long non-coding RNA (CREI_LNC000555)". Lineage: Eukaryota; Viridiplantae; Chlorophyta; Chlorophyceae; Chlamydomonadales; Chlamydomonadaceae. The record is from RNAcentral.
GCCGUCGCCCUCACCUCCAAGCCCAGCUCCGGGCGUGCCCCCUCCGUCGCCCGAGCCUCCCAGCCCUGCGCCUGGCGUACCGCCACCGUCGCCCUCACCUCCAAGCCCUGCGCCUGGCUUGCCUCCUCCGUCGCCCGCGCCUCCCAGCCCAGCUCCGGGCGUUCCGCCACCAUCGCCCUCACCUCCAAGCCCAGCUCCGGGCGUGCCCCCUCCGUCGCCCGCGCCUCCCAGCCCUGCGCCUGGCGUACCGCCGCCGUCGCCCUCACCUCCAAGCCCAGCUCCGGGCGUGCCUCCUCCGUCGCCCGCGCCUCCCAGCCCAGCUCCGGGCGUUCCGCCGCCGUCGCCCUCACCUCCAAGCCCAGCUCCGGGCGUACCGCCGCCGUCGCCCUCACCUCCAAGCCCAGCUCCGGGCGUACCGCCGCCGUCGCCCUCACCUCCAAGCCCAGCUCCGGGCGUACCGCCGCCGUCGCCCUCACCUCCAAGCCCAGCUCCGGGCGUGCCGCCGCCGUCGCCCUUACCUCCCAGCCCGGCGCCUGGCGUGCCCCCUCCGUCGCCCGAGCCUCCCAGCCCUGCGCCUGGCGUACCGCCGCCGUCGCCCUCACCUCCAAGCCCAGCUCCGGGCGUGCCGCCGCCGUCGCCCGCGCCUCCCAGCCCUGCGCCUGGCGUACCGCCGCCAUCGCCCUCACCUCCAAGCCCAGCUCCUGGCGUGCCUCCGCCGUCGCCCGCGCCUCCCAGCCCAGCUCCGGGCGUACCGCCGCCGUCGCCCUCACCUCCAAGCCCAGCUCCGGGCGUACCGCCGCCGUCGCCCUCACCUCCAAGCCCAGCUCCGGGCGUGCCGCCGCCGUCGCCCUUACCUCCCAGCCCGGCGCCUGGCGUGCCCCCUCCGUCGCCCGAGCCUCCCAGCCCUGCGCCUGGCGUACCGCCGCCGUCGCCCUCACCUCCAAGCCCAGCUCCGGGCGUGCCGCCGCCGUCGCCCGCGCCUCCCAGCCCUGCGCCUGGCGUACCGCCGCCAUCGCCCUCACCUCCAAGCCCAGCUCCUGGCGUGCCUCCGCCGUCGCCCGCGCCUCCCAGCCCAGCUCCGGGCGUACCGCCGCCGUCGCCCUCACCUCCAAGCCCAGCUCCGGGCGUACCGCCGCCGUCGCCCUCACCUCCAAGCCCAGCUCCGGGCGUGCCGCCGCCGUCGCCCUCACCUCCAAGCCCAGCUCCGGGCGUACCGCCGCCGUCGCCCGAGCCUCCCAGCCCAGCUCCGGGCGUACCGCCGCCGUCGCCCUCACCUCCAAGCCCAGCUCCGGGCGUACCGCCGCCGUCGCCCUCACCUCCAAGCCCAGCUCCGGGCGUGCCGCCGCCGUCGCCCUCACCUCCAAGCCCAGCUCCGGGCGUGCCCCCUCUGUCGCCCGAGCCUCCCAGCCCUGCGCCUGGCGUACCGCCGCCGUCGCCCUCACCUCCAAGCCCAGCUCCGGGCGUGCCGCCGCCGUCGCCCGAGCCUCCCAGCCCUGCGCCUGGCGUGCCUCCUCCGUCGCCCGAGCCUCCCAGCCCUGCGCCUGGCGUACCGCCGCCGUCGCCCUCACCUCCAAGCCCAGCUCCGGGCGUGCCGCCGCCGUCGCCCUCACCUCCCAGCCCUGCGCCUGGCGUGCCGCCUCCGUCGCCCGCGCCUCCCAGCCCUGCGCCUGGCGUACCGCCGCCGUCGCCCUCACCUCCAAGCCCAGCUCCGGGCGUGCCGCCGCCGUCGCCCUCAUCUCCCAGCCCUGCACCUGGCGUGCCUCCUCCGUCGCCCGCGCCUCCCAGCCCUUCGCCUGG